Sitodiplosis mosellana (orange wheat blossom midge) is the source of this 499-nucleotide long non-coding RNA. RefSeq lists it as uncharacterized. The transcript has 2 exons. The record is from RefSeq and is a predicted model, not a curated record. Lineage: Eukaryota; Metazoa; Arthropoda; Insecta; Diptera; Cecidomyiidae.
GAUCAAACACCUUUAACCGUUUUAGUUGUCUUGAUAAAGUCGCAGCAGAAAAAGGUAAAAUAAAUACAGAGACUCAAGCGUAUAAAAUAAGCGUCAAUUGGCAUGACAACUGCAGUUUCCCACCGCAGUAAAAUCUUUGACGAACGUUGUAUUUUGUGUUCGGUUGUAAAAAUGGCUAAAAUGGUGUUGGCUUUUGUUAUUUUAUCGCUGUUUGCAUACGAGUUUUCGAAUGGAGUUUUCAUAACGUUGCCACUUUUGCGAUCAAAAUGUCAAUAUACCAAUUUCCAGUACACGGUCCAACCAUUGGUGUGUCAACUGCUGAACAUCACCCGCAACACGACAACGCAUUGGUAGAACAUUCAGACAACGAUUGGCAAAAUAGUGAAAUGGUGAUGAUGUCACAUGGUAGAUCGAUCAAUUGAUAGCAUUAUAGUUCCAACAAAGUUAAUAAACAGUAAAAAAAAGUAGAUACAGUCGAGUUUACUGUUCGCUAUAAGAA